AUACUUACCUGGCAGGGGAGAUACCAUGAUCACAAAGGUGGUUUUACCAGGGUGAGGCUUAUCUCUUGCACACUGGAUGUGCUGGCCCCUGCGAUUUCCCCAAAUGCUGGAAACUCAAGUGCAUAUUUGUGAUAGUGGGGGACUGAGUUCGUGCUGUCCCCUG
Molecule: small nuclear RNA, 163 nt
Organism: Apodemus sylvaticus (European woodmouse)
Lineage: Eukaryota; Metazoa; Chordata; Mammalia; Rodentia; Muridae
Product: U1 spliceosomal RNA
Exons: 1
Source: RefSeq, a predicted model, not a curated record